Molecule: ribosomal RNA, 1081 nt
Filed under: uncultured bacterium
Lineage: Bacteria
Description: bacterial SSU rRNA
Rfam family: Bacterial small subunit ribosomal RNA
Source: RNAcentral
CAAUACUGCCGGUAAAGUGGCGAACGGGUGAGUAACACGUAGGUAACUUACCCUUGGGACUGGAAUAACCUCGAGAAAUCGGGGCUAAUACCGGAUAAUGCAGCGGACCCGCAUGGGUAUGUUGUUAAAGUGGUCUUGGCUUGCCAAGUUCACACCUAAGGAUAGACCUGCGUCCCAUUAGCUAGUUGGUGAGGUAACGGCUCACCAAGGCAACGAUGGGUAGCCGGCCUGAGAGGGUGUCCGGCCACACUGGGACUGAGAUACGGCCCAGACUCCUACGGGAGGCAGCAGUGAGGAAUAUUGGUCAAUGGCCGAAAGGCUGAACCAGCAACGCCGCGUGAGGGAUGAAGAUCCAAGGAUCGUAAACCUCUGUUAGAAGGGACGAAUAACUCCAUGGUGAACAAUCAUGGGGCCUGACGGUACCUUCAGAGAAAGCCCCGGCUAACUCCGUGCCAGCAGCCGCGGUAAUACGGGGGGGGCAAGCGUUGUCCGGAAUUAUUGGGCGUAAAGGGCGCGUAGGCGGAAUGGUAAGUUGAGGGUGAAAGCCCGGAGCUUAACUCCGGGUCUGCCUUCAAGACUGCUAUUCUUGAGUAUGGAAGAGGGAAGUGGAAUUCCCGGUGUAGCGGUGAAAUGCGUAGAUAUCGGGAAGAACACCAGUGGUGAAGGCGGCUCUCUAUUCUGAUACUGACACUGAGGGGCGAAAGCUAGGGGAGCAAACGGGAUUAGAUACCCCGGUAGUCCUAGCCGUAAACGAUGUGCACUGGGUGUGGGGGGGAUCGACCCCUUCCGUGCCGAAGCUAACGCAUUAAGUGCACCGCCUGGGGAGUACGGCCGCAAGGUUAAAACUCAAAGGAAUUGACGGGGACCCGCACAAGCGGUGGAGCAUGUGGUUUAAUACGACGCAACGCGUAGAACCUUACCAGGGCUUGACAUGUACGUGAAAGUCCUAUGAAAGUAGGACCCCUCUUCGGAGCACGUACACAGGUGUUGCACGGCUGUCGUCAGCUCGUGUCGUGAGAUGUUGGGUUAAGUCCCGCAACGAGCGCAACCCUUUAUUCCUAGUUGCCAGCAUGUCAUGGUU